Molecule: ribosomal RNA, 478 nt
Filed under: Fusarium oxysporum
Lineage: Eukaryota; Fungi; Ascomycota; Sordariomycetes; Hypocreales; Nectriaceae
Description: eukaryotic LSU rRNA
Rfam family: 5.8S ribosomal RNA (bases 167-320)
Source: RNAcentral
CCUGCGGAGGGAUCAUUACCGAGUUUACAACUCCCAAACCCCUGUGAACAUACCACUUGUUGCCUCGGCGGAUCAGCCCGCUCCCGGUAAAACGGGACGGCCCGCCAGAGGACCCCUAAACUCUGUUUCUAUAUGUAACUUCUGAGUAAAACCAUAAAUAAAUCAAAACUUUCAACAACGGAUCUCUUGGUUCUGGCAUCGAUGAAGAACGCAGCAAAAUGCGAUAAGUAAUGUGAAUUGCAGAAUUCAGUGAAUCAUCGAAUCUUUGAACGCACAUUGCGCCCGCCAGUAUUCUGGCGGGCAUGCCUGUUCGAGCGUCAUUUCAACCCUCAAGCACAGCUUGGUGUUGGGACUCGCGUUAAUUCGCGUUCCCCAAAUUGAUUGGCGGUCACGUCGAGCUUCCAUAGCGUAGUAGUAAAACCCUCGUUACUGGUAAUCGUCGCGGCCACGCCGUUAAACCCCAACUUCUGAAUGUGAC